GAGGCGGCUGAGGCUGCGGGUUGGUGGCCAUGGCGGUCUGGGCCGGGGAGGGCGCGGGCCCGGGCGGCCGGCGCUCCUGGCAGGCGGCGGCUGCACAGGUCCCGCCGCCUGAGAUUGCCUAUGGCUGCUUUCCUGAUACAAUAGCAGAAUUGAGUAACUGCAACGAACAACAGCGUAUGACGUGCAAGGCCUAAAGUUUGUGCCAUCUGGCUGUUUGCAGAAAAACUUUGAUGAUCUUUGUGCUAGAGUCAAAGAUGCUUCUCACAUAUGCUUCCCCAAACGGCCUCAGAUUUCCCCCUUGCUACAACCCAAAGGCCACAGACCCCUGUUGAAUCAGAAAACUCUGGAGUUGGAAGGAGGUAUUAGUGGAUAUCCAGUGAGAUUUCCCAUCUGAGACCAGAAUCUUCCAAGGAUGCCUUCUCAAGUGAUCCCCUGGAGGUGAAGGCACACCAUUGCCUGAAGGGGCCAACUCACCUUUUUUUGGAAGUUCUGGCUGUUGAAAACUGAUUCCUUAUAUUAAGCUAAAAUCUUGUAGAAAGAAAAACUGUUCAAGUUUUAUUAUUUUAUGAUGCCAUCUCCAGCCUUUGGAAGAGGAAGACUCCAUCAUCAGCAAGGUUGCUUCAAACCAGAAGGCGUGGAAGGAGAUAGAGGUGGAGGGAGGCCAUGUGCCAUCUCUUUGGCCCAGGGUUGAAGGUUUUCCAGGUCACAGGACAGUGCACAGAUCUCCAGAGAUGGUGUGAGGGACUUUAGUUCCCCAACCAGGGAUUGAACCCAUGCCCUCAGCAGUGAAAGCUCAGAGUUCUCACCACUGGAGUGCCAGGGAAUCCCUAUCAUUAGACACAAAUAAUCUGCAGAACUAGAAACAAAGGCUACAAACUCUUGCCACAGAAAAGAUGUAGAGGCACUUUUUUACAGGACAAAUUUUCCUAUUGGCAGAGAUCAUGGAAAAAAAAAAAGUGGUCCCAGGCUGGGGAAGAGACAGGAAAGCAUGAGAGAGAGGAAUGGAAAGCCUCAAUCUGGGACCCUGGGCCUGCAAGGAUGGACCGCCAAGUGCUAGCCAUCCACUCGUCAUCCAUCGAUUUUCUAGUCUUGAGUGAUGCUCAUCUAAGCCUGAGAUUCUGCUCAUCUCCCCUGAAUCUGUGUGGCCACUGCCUUCCUCUUAGCCCUAGCAACCCACUGUUGAAUUCCCAUUUUAUUGACAGAAGAAUGGAGAUUUCAGGAGGCUGAGCAUUGCCUAGAAAUUACCAGCAGGGUUGAAGCUAGAACUUAAGCCUCAUGAAUCCCUGUUGAAAACGCUUUCCAGUACCCCAUAAUAUUGCCUAAAAUCUGAUUUGUGGAUCAUAGUUAUUCAAAGUCAACACUUCUGUCCCUCAUUGUUCCUUGGGCAAUUACUUCUUCUGUGAUGAGGAAUAAACAAGAUGGUGACAGGCUCCUGAAGUUGUUUUGUCAUUUCUAACCUGGCCUUCCACUCCUGAAGCUAAAGACAGGGUUAUUUCUGGUGAAAUCCUUGCUGUAAAGUACACCAAUCAAUUUUCCUUACAAAUGGUUUCUAAUGUGUAAUUAUAUAAUCAAGCAUGCUCAUAAACAAGCCAGGCCUUGACAUAGAGUGAUGGGGUGCAGUAAUAUUUUAAAUAAAAGAUGAUCGCACAGCCAUUUAUUUUGUAGUCCAAUUUUCAGGGUUGGGAACUGUACAUUAAUGGCAGUUUCAAGAUUAGCAGCGAGCUAAAUGUGAAACUCUGUGAGUCAAUGCCUUCGACAUAAACAAAUGUACAAAAAUAGCAUCCUGCAACUGUUUGCAAAGUCUGACAGAGUUUCAGGGCUUUCUGCAAAGCAGAGGGUGCAAAGAGUACCAGAUUCAUCACAUUCUGGCAGCUAUCUAUUCAAAAACAAUGGUUUUGUCUACAAAUGGAAACUGCUAACAGCUUUCUCCAUCCAGUGCAAUCGUCUUUCCAUCUGUUUGGGUUUUAUAAUCAUGUUGCCUUUGGAAAAUUACAACACAGAGCAUAUUCUUUCGAGGUCUGUUGUUGAGCUGAAUAUUCUGGGCCAUGAAAUGGUGACAACAGUGAAGAAUUUCCCUGCAAAAGCAUUGCAACCGUUGCAUCCCCAAAAGCUACCCCUGUGCUGCAAGGCUCUGGCAGGAGUGGAGCGUCAAAUUGUGUUUAGCAGAGCACAGUUUAAAAAACAUUCACAUACACUUGAAUAGCCACAAUCUGACACUUGCACUGCUUUGGUGUAAUGGAUGCUCUUUCUCCCGCCUUCCUUCAUCUUUAUUCCUUACUCCUUUUUUUCCAUUUCCCUACCAAAAUAUAUUAUUACCUAAUGUGUGCAAAGUCAUGAGGGAUCUGGACAGCUCCUCCAGCCUGUGAUCUCAAGAAAGAACAUUAUUCCUUUGUAUCUCCUGAUCCUUUGCCUAGAGUCCAGCUCAUGGUGGGUAUUCAGUACCUAAGUGAUGAAUAAAUGAAUGAAUGAUGCUUUAUCUUUCAUGUGAUGCUUUAUACCUUAUAAAACCUUGUGUACUUUGUAAAACAUUUUCACUGAU
Orcinus orca (killer whale) is the source of this 2539-nucleotide long non-coding RNA. RefSeq lists it as uncharacterized. NCBI's taxonomy places the organism in Eukaryota, Metazoa, Chordata, Mammalia, Artiodactyla, Delphinidae. The transcript is spliced from 5 exons. The record is from RefSeq and is a predicted model, not a curated record.